CUUCAAAACUCACAGAAAAUUGGGUACCAGUGUUUAAGGAUAAGAUUCUUCAGGUUGCCAGCAAACAAAAACAAGCUCUUAAUCUACUUCACGACAUAGAAACAAUGUCAGCAGAGAGACAGAGUGACAUCGCCAUGCAACUCCUUCCUGUAAUCCUUCCAACGCAUGUGUACAAAAUUGGAAGAAAAACGUUCAAACCCACUUUCCUAGAAACCAGGAAAGCCUUCAUUGACAUACAGCCUAUUGGGACCAAUAUGGCUGAGUACCUUCGUUCAAAAGAGUCCAUUGAAUCUCCUUACGUGCUCAUGCUUGGAGACAACCACAACUUUCAAGCCUUUGCUAUAAUAAAUGGCACAGCACUUGAGCAAAGCACAUUACUUGCUGCAGUGGACAUUUGCUUUAAAGCAUUUUACAUUUUUGACGUGAACUACCCCAAGCAGUGUUCCCUGGUGUGGCAGUUUCUACAGACUGUGGUGUAUGGACUUCCUGGGGAGGAGACACCGGCAGUAAGAGUUCUGCGAGCAUUCAUUUUUGCUGAAAAACAGUAAUAAUACUGUAACCUUACCGCUUCCUUGGUUUUUGUGUACUUCAACUUGUACUCUGUUACUUCUACAGUCUACUCUGUUUCUUCUACUUCUAUCAGUUACAUUCCUUCAGUUACUUGAAUCGUACUGCGAUUAAUUGUAUUGAUGACCUAUUGUGACAUUUUUUGUCACAUGGUAUGUUAAUGUGAUGC
RNAcentral lists this long non-coding RNA (736 nucleotides) under Danio rerio (zebrafish). RNAcentral's name for it is "si:ch211-195o19.4 (ENSDARG00000093561.2)". The record is from RNAcentral. Lineage: Eukaryota; Metazoa; Chordata; Actinopteri; Cypriniformes; Danionidae.